This 252-nucleotide ribosomal RNA is filed under the name uncultured bacterium. RNAcentral's name for it is "partial 16S ribosomal RNA". It matches the Rfam family "Bacterial small subunit ribosomal RNA", at positions 524 to 776 of the family's 1533-position model. The record is from RNAcentral.
UACGUAGGUGGCAAGCGUUGUCCGGAAUUAUUGGGCGUAAAGCGCGCGCAGGCGGCCUUUUAAGUCUGAUGUGAAAUCUUGCGGCUCAACCGCAAGCGGCCAUUGGAAACUGGGAGGCUUGAGUACAGAAGAGGAGAGUGGAAUUCCACGUGUAGCGGUGAAAUGCGUAGAUAUGUGGAGGACACCAGUGGCGAAGGCGACUCUCUGGUCUGUAACUGACGCUGAGGCGCGAAAGCGUGGGGAGCAAACAGG